This is a non-coding RNA of Daphnia pulex (common water flea), 82 nucleotides long. The record is from Rfam. NCBI's taxonomy places the organism in Eukaryota, Metazoa, Arthropoda, Branchiopoda, Diplostraca, Daphniidae.
ACAGUUAUGGCCGAGUGGUUAAGUCGAUAGACUUGAAAUCUAUUCCUCUCUAAGGGCAUAGGUUCGAACCCUACCAACUGCG